CAAUAGCGUAUAUUAAAGUUGUUGCAGUUAAAAAGCUCGUAGUUGGACUUCUGGGCCGUUUUGUUGGUCUGCCGCAAGGCUGUACUAGCGGGAUGGCUCAUCCUCUCGAAGGCUGGGGGUGCUCUUAACUGGGUGCUUUCAGAACUCGGGAUCUUUACUUGAAAAAAUUAGAGUGUUCAAAGCAGGCUUACGCUUGAAUACAUUAGCAUGGAAUAAUGGAAUAGGACUUUGGUUCUAUUUUGUUGGUUUCUAGAACUGAAGUAAUGAUUAAUAGGGAUAGUUGGGGGUGCUAGUAUUCAGCGGCCAGAGGUGAAAUUCUUGGAUUCGCUGAAGACUAACUUAUGCGAAAGCAUUCACCAAGGAUGUCUUCUUUAAUCAAGAACGAAAGUUAGGGGAUCGAAGACGAUUAGAUACC
Molecule: ribosomal RNA, 415 nt
Filed under: uncultured eukaryote
Lineage: Eukaryota
Description: bacterial SSU rRNA
Rfam family: Eukaryotic small subunit ribosomal RNA
Source: RNAcentral